RNA transcript from Eurypyga helias (sunbittern), 1151 nucleotides. It is a transcript of the gene named pappalysin-1 pseudogene, with no coding region annotated. The transcript has a single exon. Lineage: Eukaryota; Metazoa; Chordata; Aves; Eurypygiformes; Eurypygidae. The record is from RefSeq and is a predicted model, not a curated record.
AGAGGUAUUUAUACAAUUGAAACACUAAUUUCUUUGUUCUGUCAUCCUUAUUUAUUCAUCUUUCUUUUUUGGGGGCACAUAGGACUAUAUGACAAAUGUUCUUACACCUCCCGUGACCGAGGAUGGGUCCUGGGGAUUAACACCGUCAGUGACCAGGGGAAUAGAGACCCCCGCUAUUUCUUCUCUCUGAAGACGGACCGUGCUCGCAAAGUAACCACCAUUGCAGCACAUCGCAGCUACCUCCCCAACCAGUGGGUGCAUCUGGCUGCCACGUAUGACGGGCACCUGAUGAAACUCUACGUGAACGGUGCCCAGGUGGCCACAAGUGGAGAGCAAGUGGGCAGCAUCUUCAGUCUUCUGACCUUGAAGUGCAAGGUGCUCAUGGUUGGAGGAAAUGCCCUGAACCAGAACUAUCGGGGUUACGUAGAGCACUUCAGCCUCUGGAGGACAGCCCGGUCUCAGAAGGAGAUCUUGUUGGACAUGGGCCAGGCAAUUCACAGACAAGACACGCCUCUACCUCAGCUAGUUCUUCAAGACAGUUUACUGAAUGUGAGAAACACCUGGUCUCCCAUGAAGGAUGGCAGCAGUCCCCAGAGCAAGUUCAGCUAUCAUCACGGCUAUUUGCUGGAUACCAGCCUAGACCCUCCUCUCUGCGGUCAGACAGUCUGUGACAACACGGACGUCAUCGCCAGCUACAACAAGCUCCCUAGCUUCCGCCGCAACAAAACCGUUCGCUACCGGGUGGUAAAUCUCUAUGAUGACAAGCACCAGAACCCCACUGUCAGCCAACAGCAGAUUGAGUUCCAGCAUCAGCAUUUGAAUGAGGCUUUCAGCCGCUACAACAUCACCUGGGAGCUGGAAGUGCUGGAGGUGAAGAACUCUUCCCUUCGCCACCGACUCAUCCUGGCCAACUGUGAUAUCAGCAAGAUUGGGGACGAGAACUGUGAUCCUGAGUGCAACCACACCUUGACUGGCUACGACGGCGGAGACUGCCGACACGUACGCCACACGCUCUUCAACAAGAAGAAGCAGAACGGGGUGUGUGACAUGGAUUGUAAUUACGAGAGAUACAACUUUGAUGGUGGGGAAUGCUGUAACCCAGAGAUAACAGAAGUCACCAAGACAUGUUUUGACCCAUAUUCUCCUUACAG